AUAUUUGAAAGUAUGAACACAAAAUAAAACAAAUUAGAAAUAAAUUUUAUACAUUGCUAGGCCACAUGAUGGUGGUAUACAAUAACUAAUAGAUGUGUCACGCUCACACAUACUCUUUACAUUUGUAAAGAUACAUAAUUUCAAACCUUACUAAUAUUAAUUUACUUAAGCUAUUCACAAUUGAUACAUACUCAUUCAUAUAUAUUAUUAGACCAAUUUCCACCGAUUGUUUGAGACAAUAUGCUUCAUUAUUUUUUCAUGCAAAUAUCCACAUAGUCACCUUCACUCAAAGAGACUGAGUUAAGAUUUAUGAGGCUGCAGUUAAAGGAGGGAAAUGUUUUGUUUCUUGAAAUAGAUGGCUGUGAUCCAAUUUAAUUUGAGAGUCUUCAUCUUCUUCAUCAAUUUCAGCAUCCCAAAGGAAUUUUGCAUAUGAAGCCAGCACAUAGCUGCCAAUUGUUAAGUAUAUCUAUUAGUAGUUCUCUACCAACACGAUAAACCCUUUUAUUUAUUUAUUGGGAAAUAGAUGGAAAAUGUAACUGGCGCCCUUUGUUGAGACUAGAUUCUCUCCAGUGCAGUUUCCACUGCAGGAGGUCGAGUGUCCAAUCCAACCAUUCAUUUUUUAAAUAAAAAAAAAUAAAAUUACAAUGAUAAUAAAAUGAGAGGUUGUGAUUUGACUAGACAGAAAAGUCCACUAGAGAGGAUCCUCUCCAGAACAUUGUUUAAGGGAUAAAAAAAAUCGCAUAGAAACUUGUGGUUUUUGCAAGUGUUUGCCAAUUUUUAAAAUUAAAUUCCCUUUUAGAAUACUUGUUUUUUUGAACAAAAGCUUUUAAAAAUAAUAUUACACUAUAUGUACAGAAAAUUAAUUUCUUUGACACAUAUCAUCAAGAGAUUAUACUAAAAUUUAGCUCAUAUACUAUAUAAUACUUAUGGAGAGGCAACAAAAAUCCUUGCUAUACUUAAUAUUUUAUAAUACUUGAUAUAAAAUAUUUGUACACAUACGUCCUAAUCAAAUUUUACUAUAUUAUCAUGUUAUGUUGU
RNAcentral lists this long non-coding RNA (1038 nucleotides) under Trifolium pratense (red clover). Its description in RNAcentral is "long non-coding RNA (TPRA_LNC007722)". Lineage: Eukaryota; Viridiplantae; Streptophyta; Magnoliopsida; Fabales; Fabaceae. The record is from RNAcentral.